CCUACGGGAGGCAGCAGUGAGGAAUAUUGGACAAUGGGCGCAAGCCUGAUCCAGCCAUGCCGCGUGCAGGAAGAAGCAUCUAUGGUGUGUAAACUGCUUUUGUACAGGAAGAAACACUCCCUCGUGAGGGAGCUUGACGGUACUGUAAGAAUAAGGACCGGCUAACUCCGUGCCAGCAGCCGCGGUAAUACGGAGGGUCCGAGCGUUAUCCGGAAUCAUUGGGUUUAAAGGGUCCGUAGGCGGUUUAAUAAGUCAGUGGUGAAAUCUGGUCGCUCAACGAUCAAACGGCCAUUGAUACUGUUAGACUUGAACUAUAAGGAAGUAACUAGAAUAUGUAGUGUAGCGGUGAAAUGCUUAGAUAUUACAUGGAAUACCAAUUGCGAAGGCAGGUUACUACUUACGGAUUGACGCUGAUGGACGAAAGCGUGGGGAGCGAACAGGAUUAGAUACCCUGGUAGUCCACGCCGUAAACGAUGGAUACUAGCUGUUCGGAGCAAUCUGAGUGNGUAGAGAAGUAGAGUAAGUAGUACCACCGUCGGGAGGUACGGUUCGUCGAAGAAGUUAGUAAACGUUACAAAUAAGAAGUUAGACGGCGUUGAGACGAGCCGACGGACGACGACGAGGGAGGAGG
Molecule: ribosomal RNA, 631 nt
Filed under: uncultured bacterium
Lineage: Bacteria
Description: bacterial SSU rRNA
Rfam family: Bacterial small subunit ribosomal RNA (bases 1-534)
Source: RNAcentral